Molecule: ribosomal RNA, 501 nt
Filed under: uncultured bacterium
Lineage: Bacteria
Description: bacterial SSU rRNA
Rfam family: Bacterial small subunit ribosomal RNA
Source: RNAcentral
AGUAGGGAAUAUUAGUUAAUGUGCGAAAGCGCGAACUAGCAACGCCGCGUGUGCGAUGAAGGCCUUCGGGUCGUAAAGCACUUUUCCGAGGGACGAGGAAGGACGGUACCUCGGGAAUAAGCAUCGGCUAACUACGUGCCAGCAGCCGCGGUAAAACGUAGGAUGCGAGCGUUAUCCGGAUUUACUGGGCGUAAAGCGCGUGUAGGCGGUUUGGUAAGUUGGAUGUGAAAGCUCCUGGCUUAACUGGGAGAGGUCGUUCAAUACUGCCGAGCUAGAGGAUGGUAGAGGGAGGUGGAAUUCCGAGUGUAGUGGUGAAAUGCGUAGAUAUUCGGAGGAACACCAGUGGCGAAAGCGGCCUCCUGGACCAUUUCUGACGCUCAGACGCGAAAGCUAGGGUAGCAAACGGGAUUAGAGACCCCGGUAGUCUUAGCUGUAAACGAUGUGGACUUGGCGUCGGCGGGUUUAAAAUCCGUCGGUGUCGAAGCUAACGCGAUAAGUCCA